This 465-nucleotide ribosomal RNA is filed under the name uncultured bacterium. RNAcentral's name for it is "partial 16S ribosomal RNA". It matches the Rfam family "Bacterial small subunit ribosomal RNA", at positions 338 to 795 of the family's 1533-position model. The record is from RNAcentral.
CCUACGUGAGGCAGCAGUAGGGAAUCUUCCACAAUGGGCGAAAGCCUGAUGGAGCAACGCCGCGUGGGUGAAGAAGGUCUUCGGAUCGUAAAACCCUGUUGUUAGAGAAGAAAGUGCGUGAGAGUAACUGUUCACGUUUCGACGGUAUCUAACCAGAAAGCCACGGCUAACUACGUGCCAGCAGCCGCGGUAAUACGUAGGUGGCAAGCGUUAUCCGGAUUUAUUGGGCGUAAAGGGAACGCAGGCGGUCUUUUAAGUCUGAUGUGAAAGCCUUCGGCUUAACCGGAGUAGUGCAUUGGAAACUGGGGGACUUGAGUGCAGAAGAGGGAAGUGGAACUCCAUGUGUAGCGGGGAAAUGCGUAGAUAUAUGGAAGAAAACCAGUGGCGAAAGCGGCUCUCUGGUCUGUAACUGACGCUGAGGUUCGAAAGCGUGGGUAGCAAACAGGAUUAGAUACCCUUGUAGUC